This 274-nucleotide ribosomal RNA is filed under the name uncultured bacterium. RNAcentral's name for it is "partial 16S ribosomal RNA". It matches the Rfam family "Bacterial small subunit ribosomal RNA", at positions 523 to 796 of the family's 1533-position model. The record is from RNAcentral.
AUACGGAGGGAGCAAGCGUUAUUCGGAAUCACUGGGCGUAAAGGACGCGUAGGCGGGUUUGUAAGUCAGGUGUGAAAUCCUACAGCUCAACUGUAGAACUGCACUUGAAACUACAGACCUAGAGUAUGGAAGGGGCAGAUGGAAUUAGUGGUGUAGGGGUAAAAUCCGUAGAUAUCACUAGGAAUACCGAAAGCGAAGGCGAUCUGCUGGGACAUUACUGACGCUGAGGCGUGAAAGCGUGGGGAGCAAACAGAAUUAGAAACCCCAGUAGUCC